RNAcentral lists this long non-coding RNA (762 nucleotides) under Ananas comosus (pineapple). RNAcentral describes it as "long non-coding RNA (ACOM_LNC012900)". Lineage: Eukaryota; Viridiplantae; Streptophyta; Magnoliopsida; Poales; Bromeliaceae. The record is from RNAcentral.
CGCUUCUUACACCCCACUAAUUAAUCACUCGAGGACCAGUUUGCGGAAACGGAAAACUCCGAGGGCUCUUUUGCAAAAAAAAAAGGAAAAAAAUGGCGCAGGGGAAUAACCACUCGGCGACGCGGCGCCCGCACGGGUUCGUCCCGCCGCACGAGCUGCUGCGGCGGCGGUGCCGCGCCGCGUCGUUCUCGGUCCAGGAAGGGCUGGGCCGGACCCUCAAGGGCCGCGACUUGAGCCGGGUCCGAAACGCGGUUUGGGCCAAGAUCGGGUUCGAGGAUUAAACCCGUUACACUUUUUUCUUUUUUUUUUUUCUUUUUUUUUUGGGUGUGUGUGAUCCCCUUCGAUUACCAAUUUUUAUGGGAGAAGGAGAGGGAUGAGAUGAUAAGUUUGUUUUAGUGGGUUAUGUUGUAUGAGACAUAAUAGAUGUGUGGGUUUAGAUUUAUUAUUAUUAAAGAGUUUGAGUGGUUUUUUUUGGNUGGGUGUGUGUGAUCCCCUUCGAUUACCAAUUUUUAUGGGAGAAGGAGAGAGGGAUGAGAUGAUAAGUUUGUUUUAGUGGGUUAUGUUGUAUGAGACAUAAUAGAUGUGUGGGCUUAAGAUUUAUUAUUAUUAUUAAAGAGUUUGAGUGGUUUUUUUGGGUUUAUUUUUGGAUUCUGUAAUGGAAUAUAUUUCUUUGUAACAAAGAGUAAUGAAGUUUAAUAAUAUUAAUUAACAGUUUAAUUAUAAUCCAAUUAUUAAAAAACAAAUUGAUCAAAGGUUGAGAGG